CGAAAUGAGUUUUUUUGUGAAGGACCUACCAUAUAUUUGUUGCAAAAUUGGACCUAAUAAAUUUUAUAAAAUACUAGGCCAUAUUUAAUGCACAAUUGACAAAAUGGUUGGGUGUCAAAAGUUUUGAUCCACCUCUGGUGAAAAAGACAAAUUCCCGCCAAUUUAGUAGGAAGCGGGUCAAAUUUGAACUGCAGCUGCCUCAUAGUUUGCUCUUUAUUUUUUCAAAAAAUCAUUUCUAGGUACACAAGUAUCUAUUUAAUCAGAGAAACAUCAAAAGUUUUCCAAGAUUCAACCACUAGCUAGGAACGGUCAAGCCCACCGUUUUGACCGCAUUUUGAAAUGGGCAUCAAAAAUUAAAAAAAAAUCAAAAAAUUGGAAAACCUUCGCAUUGUGGCAUUAUAUGUGACCAAGUUUCCAGGAAAACUAAUAAACUUGUAAUACGGAAAUUAUUUUAAAAAAAUGUUCUCAGAAAUGAGCUAUCAUGCGUGAAGAUUCAUGGCUUUCAAGCCAAAUGAUCAAUCUUAUGGCCACAUUCAUGGCACAGUUUGUUCAAAUGAUCUCAUAUUGUGCACAAGGGUGCAUCUUGGAAUUCCAAACAAUGUUGCCUAAGGGAGUUUUCAUUUUCUUUUCACGGAAAAUACAUUUUCCAUUUUCUGAGUGCCCGAAAUGAGUUUUUUUUGUGAAGGACCUACCAUAUAUUUGUUGCAAAAUUGGACCUAAUCAAUUUUAUAAAAUACUAUGCCAUAUUUAAUGCACAAUUGACAAAAUGGUUGGGUGUCAAAAGUUUUGAUCCACCUCUGGUGAAAAAGACAAAUUCCUGCCAAUUUAGUAGGAAGCGGGUCAAAUUUGAACUGCAGCUGCCUCAUAGUUUGCUCUUUAUUUUUUUCCAAAAAUCAUUUCUAGGUACACAAGUAUCUAUUUAAUCAGAGAAACAUCAAAAGUUUUCCAAGAUUCAACCACUAGCUAGGAACGGUCAAGCCCACCGUUUUGACCGCAUUUUGAAAUGGGCAUCAAAAAUUCAAAAAA
This 1026-nucleotide long non-coding RNA is filed under the name Triticum aestivum (bread wheat). Its description in RNAcentral is "long non-coding RNA (TAES_LNC023779)". The record is from RNAcentral. Lineage: Eukaryota; Viridiplantae; Streptophyta; Magnoliopsida; Poales; Poaceae.